GUAGGGAAUAUUGGGCAAUGGGGGAAACCCUGACCCAGCAACGCCGCGUGAGGGAAGAAGGCCUAACGGUUGUAAACCUCUGUCAUAUGGGAAGAAGGAAUGACAGUACCAUAUGAGGAAGCUCCGGCUAACUACGUGCCAGCAGCCGCGGUAAUACGUAGGGAGCAAGCGUUGUCCGGAAUUACUGGGCGUAAAGGGUGCGUAGGCGGCAUGUUAAGUUAGAUGUCAAAUACCCGGGCUUAACACGGGGACGCAUCUAAAACUGGCGUGCUUGAGGGCAGGAGAGGAGAGCGGACUUCCGAGUGUAGCGGUGUAAUGCGUAGAUAUUAGGAGGAACACCAGUGGCGAGGGCGGCUUUCUGGACUGUAACUGACGCUGAAGCACGAAAGCGUGGGGAGCAAACAGGAUUAGAAACCCGGGUAGUCC
RNAcentral lists this ribosomal RNA (426 nucleotides) under uncultured bacterium. Its description in RNAcentral is "partial 16S ribosomal RNA". It matches the Rfam family "Bacterial small subunit ribosomal RNA", at positions 354 to 796 of the family's 1533-position model. The record is from RNAcentral.